UUUAAAGUCUAAUCUGCCCCAUGAGGAAUUAAAUGGCCGCGGUACUUUGACCGUGCAAAGGUAGCAUAAUAAUUAGUUUUUUAAUUGAAAGCUGGUAUGAAUGAUUGGACGAGAAAAUGACUGUCUCAAUUUAAUUUUUUUAGAAUUUUAUUUUUAAGUAAGAAAGCUUAAAUUUUAUUAAAAGACGAGAAGACCCUAUAGAGUUUUAUAUUUAGUUGAUUUUUAGUUUUAAAGAAUUAUUUUAUUAAUAUUUAAUUAAAUAUUUUAUUGGGGUGAUAGAAAAAUAUUAUAAACUUUUUUUUUAUUUAAACAUUGAUUUAUGAUUUAAUGAUCCAUUUUUAUAUGAUUAAAAGAAUAAGUUACCUUAGGGAUAACAGCGUAAUUUUUUUUUAGAGUUCUUAUCGAAAGAAAAGAUUGCGACCUCGAUGUUGGAUUAAAAUUAAUAUUUGGUGUAGAAGCUAGAUAAUUGGGUCUGUUCGACCCUUAAAAUUUUACA
This 496-nucleotide ribosomal RNA is filed under the name Maladera sp. 836071. RNAcentral's name for it is "partial 16S large subunit ribosomal RNA". It matches the Rfam family "Bacterial large subunit ribosomal RNA", at positions 1844 to 2600 of the family's 2925-position model. Lineage: Eukaryota; Metazoa; Arthropoda; Insecta; Coleoptera; Scarabaeidae. The record is from RNAcentral.